CCCUUAGAUGUUCUGAACCGCACGCGUGUUACACUGAUGUAUUCAACGAGCUUUACCUUGGCCGAGAGGCCUGGGAAAUCUUUUUAGCAUGCAUCGUGAUAGGGAUUGAUUAUUGCAAUUAUUAAUCAUGAACGAGGAAUUCCUAGUAAACGCAUUUCAUCAAAAUGCAUUGAUUACGUCCCUGCCCUUUGUACACACCGCCCGUCGCACCUACCGAUUGAGUGGUCCGGUGAAGUCUCGAGAUUGUGGCAAUCUCCUUUAUUGGAGUUUGACUGCGAGAACUUGCCUAAACCUUAUCACUUAGAGGAAGGUGAAGUCGUAACA
RNAcentral lists this ribosomal RNA (324 nucleotides) under uncultured eukaryote. RNAcentral describes it as "partial 18S ribosomal RNA". It matches the Rfam family "Eukaryotic small subunit ribosomal RNA", at positions 1470 to 1796 of the family's 1831-position model. The record is from RNAcentral.